UCGAGAAUUUUUCUCAAUGGGCGAAAGCCUGAAGGAGCGACGCCGCGUGGGGGAUGAAGGGUUUCGAUCCGUAAACCCCUGUCAUUUGCGAACAAACCUUAGCAUUUAAAAGAUGUUGAGCUGAUUGUAGUGAAAGAGGAAGGGACGGCUAACUCUGUGCCAGCAGCCGCGGUAAUACAGAGGUCCCAAGCGUUGUUCGGAUUCACUGGGCGUAAAGGGUGCGUAGGUGGCUUGGUAAGUUUGAUGUGAAAUCUCCGGGCUUAACCCGGAAAUGGCAUUGAAUACUAUUGAGCUGGAGGUUUGGAGGGGGGACUGGAAUUCUCGGUGUAGCAGUGAAAUGCGUAGAUAUCGAGAGGAACACCAGUGGCGAAGGCGAGUCCCUGGACAACACCUGACACUGAGGCACGAAAGCUAGGGGAGCAAACAG
Molecule: ribosomal RNA, 427 nt
Filed under: uncultured bacterium
Lineage: Bacteria
Description: bacterial SSU rRNA
Rfam family: Bacterial small subunit ribosomal RNA
Source: RNAcentral